AUUGAACGCUGGCGGCAUGCUUUACACAUGCAAGUCGAACGGUAACAGGGAGCUUGCUCCGCUGACGAGUGGCGAACGGGUGAGUAAUGCAUCGGAACGUACCCAGUCGUGGGGGAUAACGUAGCGAAAGUUACGCUAAUACCGCAUACGUCCUGAGGGAGAAAGCGGGGGACCGUAAGGCCUCGCGCGAUUGGAGCGGCCGAUGUCGGAUUAGCUAGUUGGUGGGGUAAAGGCCUACCAAGGCGACGAUCCGUAGCGGGUCUGAGAGGAUGAUCCGCCACACUGGGACUGAGACACGGCCCAGACUCCUACGGGAGGCAGCAGUGGGGAAUUUUGGACAAUGGGGGCAACCCUGAUCCAGCCAUGCCGCGUGAGUGAAGAAGGCCUCGGUUGUAAGACUCUUCUAGCCGGAGAAAGACGCACUCUCUACAUAGGUAGUGGAGUGACGGUACCGGAACGGAAGAAGGACACCGGCUAACUACGUAGCCAGCAGCCGCGGUAAGAGU
RNAcentral lists this ribosomal RNA (506 nucleotides) under uncultured bacterium. RNAcentral describes it as "bacterial SSU rRNA". It matches the Rfam family "Bacterial small subunit ribosomal RNA", at positions 29 to 528 of the family's 1533-position model. The record is from RNAcentral.